Non-coding RNA from Chlorocebus sabaeus (green monkey), 1594 nucleotides. Lineage: Eukaryota; Metazoa; Chordata; Mammalia; Primates; Cercopithecidae. The record is from RefSeq and is a predicted model, not a curated record.
GGCACCACGGCACGAGCCCUGCACUGUCCAGUGCAAGGGGAGCGACGCGAAGAUCAGUCGACGGCGCUGCCGCCACCACCACCGCCGUAGACACACUCUCAUCCUACGGGCUACGCCUGGGCCUUGCUGCCAGGAAGCUUCGGCCCCGCAGCUCGGCUUGCUGCGGUCUUAGGUUUCUUUACCUCCAGAAAGAAGAAUAUUGACCCCUUGAAUUCUGGAAGUUCAUUGAAGAAUCGGAAAUUAGGGACUUAUUUCAAAUUUGGACAUGGCUAAUCGAGGUGCAACAAGACCCAACGGGCCAAAUACUGGAAAUAAAAUAUGCCAGUUCAAACUAGUACUUCUGGGAGAGUGUACUGUUGGCAAAUCAAGCCUAGUGCUUCGUUUUGUGAAAGGCCAAUUUCAUGAAUUUCAAGAGAGUACCAUUGGGGCUGCUUUUCUAACCCAAACUGUAUGUCUUGAUGACACUACAGUAAAGUUUGAAAUAUGGGAUACAGCUGGUCAAGAACGAUAUCAUAGCCUAGCACCAAUGUACUACAGAGGAGCACAAGCAGUCAUAGUUGUAUAUGAUAUCACAAAUGAGGAGUCCUUUGCAAGAGCAAAAAAUUGGGUUAAAGAACUUCAGAGGCAAGCAAGUCCUAACACUGUAAUAGCUUUAGCAGGAAACAAGGCCAACCUAGCAAAAGAGCAGUAAAUUUCCAGGAAGCACAGUCCUUUGCAGAUGACAAUAGUUUAUUAUUCAUGGAGACAUCAGCUAAAAUAUCAAUGGAUGUAAGUGAAAUAUUCAUGGCAAUAGCUAAAAAAUUGCCAAAGGAUGAACCACAAAAUCCAGGAGCAAAUUCUGCCAGAGGAAGAGGAGUAGACCUCACUGAACCCACACGACCAACCAGGAGUCAGUGUUGUAGUAACUAAACCUCUAGUUUGAACUAGCUGGAAGAGUCUUCUGCUUCCUAAAUGUUAAUGACAAUGGAAUUGGAGCAUUUAACCAGCCCAGUAUGACUUCCAAAAGAAGAGACUUAUGAUAGAGUCAAGUUUCUAAUACACAAUUAUUUUAAGUGUUUUGAACUUUAAUAACAUGCAUGGGUCCUUCUCACUGAUGUUUCAACAGUAGGGAAAAAAAGAACUAUGCAGACACUUGUUUCAAUGGAAGGUUAGGGGGAAUAAUUUCUCAUCACUAGGAAUAUAGACAAAUGACUGUCUGGACCCACACAGUUAACCAGCCCAUUUCUCCACACUGGUACAGUAGUCACCUGUGAAAAAAAAUUUGGAACUUACUAAUUUGGGCUUUUCAAAAACAUCCAUUUUUUAGAAGGAGAUUCUAAAGUUAUUUAUGAUGCUUAGCCGUAGUAUUCAGGCAAAUGUUCAUUUCUCCUGGUAUCUGUAUUUAAAAUGUACAUUCCACAUUUUAAUAAAUUAACCACAAGAAAAUAAUCACACAUAUACAAGGUGGGGGGGUGGGGAAGAGUAUUAAUGGUAUCAAUUAUAGCCAGUCCCGUUUUUUUUUUUUUUAAAUGGGGUAAAAAUCAAAUGCAAUCCCAUCUUGUUUUAAGAAUUUGAGAACUAAUAAAUGCACCUUAAUGGAUAGUGUUCCUUUCAA